GAACUCAUUUAUUAGGACAAAGAACAAACCUCGAGAGCUCUGUAGACCCCCGAGGUCUCAACCACUGUUUAUAUAGAGGGGACGGGGGAUAACACGAGUACCCAUCACAUGAUACCAUGGCAACAUACCGUAUAUAGAGAGGAGACGGGGUGUAACACGAGUACCCAUCACAUGAUACCAUGGCAACAUACCGUAUAUAGAGACGAGGCGGGGCGUAACACAGGUACCAUCACAUGAUACCAAAGCAACAUACCAUAUAUAAAGAGAGGAGGCGAGGCGUAACACGAGUACCCAUCACAUGAUACCAUGGCAACAUACCGUAUAUAGAGAGGAGACGGGGUGUAACACGAGUACCAUCACAUGAUACCAUGGCAACAUACCAUAUAUAAAGAGAGGAGGCGGGGUGUAACACGAGUACCCAUCACAUGAUACCAUGGCAACAUACUGUAUAUAGAGACGAGGCGGGCGUAACACAGGUACCAUCACAUGAUACCAUGGCAACAUACCAUAUAUAAAGAGAGGAGGCGAGGCGUAACACGAGUACCCAUCACAUGAUACCAUGGCAACAUACCAUAUAUAAAGAGAGGAGGCGAGGCGUAACACGAGUACCCCUCACAUGAUACCAUGGCAACAUACCAUAUAUAAAGAGAGGAGGCGAGGUGUAACACGAGUACCCAUCACAUGAUACCAUGGCAACAUACCGUAUAUAGAGAGGAGACGGGGCGUAACACGAGUACCCAUCACAUGAUACCAUGGCAACAUACCAUAUAUAGAAACGAGGCGGGGCGUAACACAGGUACUAUCACAUGAUACCAUGGCAACAUACCAUAUAUAAAGAGAGGAGGCGAGACGUAACACGAGUACCCCUCACAUGAUACCAUGGCAACAUACCAUAUAUAGAGACGAGGCGGGGCGUAACACGAGUACCCAUCACAUGAUACCAUGGCAACAUACCAUAUAUAAAGAGAGGAGGCGAGGCGUAACACGAGUACCCAUCACAUGAUACCAUGGCAACAUACCGUAUAUAGAGAGGAGACGGGGUGUAACACGAGUACCCAUCACAUGAUACCAUGGCAACAUACCGUAUAUAGGGAGGAGACGGGGUGUAACACGAGUACCCAUCACAUGAUACCAUGGCAACAUACCAUAUAUAGAGACGAGGCGGGGCGUAACACAGGUACCAUCACAUGAUACCAUGGCAACAUACCAUAUAUAGAGACGAGGCGGGGCGUAACACAGGUACCAUCACAUGAUACCAUGGCAACAUACCAUAUAUAGAGACGAGGCGGGGCGUAACACGAGUACCCAUCACAUGAUACCAUGGCAACAUACCAUAUAUAAAGAGAGGAGGCGAGGCGUAACACGAGUACCCAUCACAUGAUACCAUGGCAACAUACCGUAUAUAGAGAGGAGACGGGGUGUAACACAGGUACCAUCACAUGAUCCCACGGCAAUAUACCGUAUAUAGAGAGGAGGCGAGGCAUAACACAGGUACCAUCACAUGAUACCACGGCAACAUACUGUAUAUAGAGAGAUGGGGGGUAACACGGGUACUCGUCACGUGAUACCAUGGCAACAUAUCGUAUAUAGACAGGGGGAGGGGCAUAACACAGAUAGAUGACAUGUACUCGCCACAUGAUACCGUGGCAAUGUACUCACACAAAUGGCAGUAAAAUUGCUGCCAUGAGC
This is a long non-coding RNA of Bufo bufo (common toad), 1689 nucleotides long. RefSeq lists it as uncharacterized. NCBI's taxonomy places the organism in Eukaryota, Metazoa, Chordata, Amphibia, Anura, Bufonidae. The record is from RefSeq and is a predicted model, not a curated record. The transcript has 2 exons.